UUUAUUGGGCAUCCUGGAAAAAGGUGGACGAACCCGGUACAUAAGAAACCCUACCGUGGACAUUAUCUCAGUCGGAUGGGGCCAAGAAGUCCCAUACCGGAAAGAUCUUGAGAGAUAUAGUUCACUUUCAUACCAGACGAAGUAUCGAGAUGAUGGUGUUUUGGUAUCCAUUAUCGGACGGGAUAUGAGGAUGACCGGGUUAAUUGUCAAAUCUUGAUACUAGCUCC
This 227-nucleotide long non-coding RNA is filed under the name Carica papaya (papaya). RNAcentral's name for it is "long non-coding RNA (CPAP_LNC013456)". Lineage: Eukaryota; Viridiplantae; Streptophyta; Magnoliopsida; Brassicales; Caricaceae. The record is from RNAcentral.